RNAcentral lists this ribosomal RNA (862 nucleotides) under Didymella macrostoma. RNAcentral describes it as "LSU rRNA". It matches the Rfam family "Eukaryotic large subunit ribosomal RNA", at positions 70 to 950 of the family's 3401-position model. Lineage: Eukaryota; Fungi; Ascomycota; Dothideomycetes; Pleosporales; Didymellaceae. The record is from RNAcentral.
AGGGAUUGCCCUAGUAACGGCGAGUGAAGCGGCANCAGCUCAAAUUUGAAAUCUGGCGUCUUUGGCGUCCGAGUUGUAAUUUGCAGAGGGCGCUUUGGCAUUGGCAGCGGUCCAAGUUCCUUGGAACAGGACGUCACAGAGGGUGAGAAUCCCGUACGUGGUCGCUAGCCUUUACCGUGUAAAGCCCCUUCGACGAGUCGAGUUGUUUGGGAAUGCAGCUCUAAAUGGGAGGUAAAUUUCUUCUAAAGCUAAAUACUGGCCAGAGACCGAUAGCGCACAAGUAGAGUGAUCGAAAGAUGAAAAGCACUUUGGAAAGAGAGUUAAAAAGCACGUGAAAUUGUUGAAAGGGAAGCGCUUGCAGCCAGACUUGCCUGUAGUUGCUCAUCUAGGUUUCUACCUAGUGCACUCUUCUAUAGGCAGGCCAGCAUCAGUUUGGGCGGUUGGAUAAAGGUCUCUGUCAUGUACCUCUCUUCGGGGAGAACUUAUAGGGGAGACGACAUGCAACCAGCCUGGACUGAGGUCCGCGCAUCUGCUAGGAUGCUGGCGUAAUGGCUGUAAGCGGCCCGUCUUGAAACACGGACCAAGGAGUCUAACAUCUAUGCGAGUGUUUGGGUGUCAAGCCCGAGCGCGUAAUGAAAGUGAACGGAGGUGGGAACCUUUCGGGGUGCACCAUCGACCGAUCCUGAUGUCUUCGGAUGGAUUUGAGUAAGAGCAUAGCUGUUGGGACCCGAAAGAUGGUGAACUAUGCUUGAAUAGGGUGAAGCCAGAGGAAACUCUGGUGGAGGCUCGCAGCGGUUCUGACGUGCAAAUCGAUCGUCAAAUUUGGGCAUAGGGGCGAAAGACUAAUCGAACUAUCUAGUAG